GCGCUACAGCAAAUACAUAUUCGUAUAAUUCCGGGGAUUGGCCUGGAAGUCUCUACGAGGUCACCGUAAUGACCUGGCUACGAUUAAGAAGAGCAGCUUA
Molecule: non-coding RNA, 100 nt
Organism: Paenibacillus sp. IHB B 3415
Lineage: Bacteria; Bacillati; Bacillota; Bacilli; Caryophanales; Paenibacillaceae
Source: Rfam